GAUGAACGCUGGCGGCGUGCCUAGUACAUGCAAGUCGAGCGAACGGACGAGAAGCUUGCUUCUCUGAUGUUAGCGGCGGACGGGUGAGUAACACGUGGAUAACCUACCUAUAAGACUGGGAUAACUUCGGGAAACCGGAGCUAAUACCGGAUAAUAUUUUGAACCGCAUGGUUCAAAAGUGAAAGACGGUCUUGCUGUCACUUAUAGAUGGAUCCGCGCUGCAUUAGCUAGUUGGUAAGGUAACGGCUUACCAAGGCAACGAUGCAUAGCCGACCUGAGAGGGUGAUCGGCCACACUGGAACUGAGACACGGUCCAGACUCCUACGGGAGGCAGCAGUAGGGAAUCUUCCGCAAUGGGCGAAAGCCUGACGGAGCAACGCCGCGUGAGUGAUGAAGGUCUUCGGAUCGUAAAACUCUGUUAUUAGGGAAGAACAUAUGUGUAAGUAACUGUGCACAUCUUGACGGUACCUAAUCAGAAAGCCACGGCUAACUACGUGCCAGCAGCCGCGGUAAUACGUAGGUGGCAAGCGUUAUCCGGAAUUAUUGGGCGUNAAGCGCGCGUAGGCGGUUUUUUAAGUCUGAUGUGAAAGCCCACGGCUCAACCGUGGAGGGUCAUUGGAAACUGGAAAACUUGAGUGCAGAAGAGGAAAGUGGAAUUCCAUGUGUAGCGGUGAAAUGCGCAGAGAUAUGGAGGAACACCAGUGGCGAAGGCGACUUUCUGGUCUGUAACUGACGCUGAUGUGCGAAAGCGUGGGGAUCAAACAGGAUUAGAUACCCUGGUAGUCCACGCCGUAAACGAUGAGUGCUAAGUGUUAGGGGGUUUCCGCCCCUUAGUGCUGCAGCUAACGCAUUAAGCACUCCGCCUGGGGAGUACGACCGCAAGGUUGAAACUCAAAGGAAUUGACGGGGACCCGCACAAGCGGUGGAGCAUGUGGUUUAAUUCGAAGCAACGCGAAGAACCUUACCAAAUCUUGACAUCCUUUGACAACUCUAGAGAUAGAGCCUUCCCCUUCGGGGGACAAAGUGACAGGUGGUGCAUGGUUGUCGUCAGCUCGUGUCGUGAGAUGUUGGGUUAAGUCCCGCAACGAGCGCAACCCUUAAGCUUAGUUGCCAUCAUUAAGUUGGGCACUCUAAGUUGACUGCCGGUGACAAACCGGAGGAAGGUGGGGAUGACGUCAAAUCAUCAUGCCCCUUAUGAUUUGGGCUACACACGUGCUACAAUGGACAAUACAAGGGGCAGCGAAACCGCGAGGUCAAGCAAAUCCCAUAAAGUUGUUCUCAGUUCGGAUUGUAGUCUGCAACUCGACUACAUGAAGCUGGAAUCGCUAGUAAUCGUAGAUCAGCAUGCUACGGUGAAUACGUUCCCGGGUCU
RNAcentral lists this ribosomal RNA (1372 nucleotides) under uncultured bacterium. RNAcentral describes it as "bacterial SSU rRNA". It matches the Rfam family "Bacterial small subunit ribosomal RNA", at positions 28 to 1381 of the family's 1533-position model. The record is from RNAcentral.